Molecule: non-coding RNA, 91 nt
Organism: Claviceps maximensis
Lineage: Eukaryota; Fungi; Ascomycota; Sordariomycetes; Hypocreales; Clavicipitaceae
Source: the annotation of a GenBank genome assembly
UCCGAUGUGGUGUAGUGGCUAUCAUACUGCGCUUUCAUGGUCUACCAUUAAAGCUUCCGCAGGGAUCGGGGUUCGAUUCCCCGCAUCGGAG